RNAcentral lists this unclassified non-coding RNA (256 nucleotides) under uncultured fungus. RNAcentral's name for it is "partial contains 5.8S ribosomal RNA, internal transcribed spacer 2, and large subunit ribosomal RNA". The stretch from base 1 to 52 matches the Rfam family "5.8S ribosomal RNA", at positions 103 to 154 of the family's 154-position model. The record is from RNAcentral. Lineage: Eukaryota; Fungi.
AACGCACAUUGCGCCCCUUGGUAUUCCGAGGGGCAUGCCUGUCCGAGCGUCAUUGCUACCCUCAAGCGCGGCUUGUGUGUUGGGCCGACGUCCGCCCCGUUCGGGGGGGACGGGCCCGAAAGGCAGCGGCGGCACCGCGACCGGUCUUCGAGCGUAUGGGGCUCUGUCACCCGCUCCGUGGGACCGGCCGGCGCCUGCCUGGCAACCAUCUUUUUAUGUUGACCUCGGAUCAGGUAGGGAUACCCGCUGAACUUAA